RNAcentral lists this long non-coding RNA (498 nucleotides) under Nicotiana benthamiana. Its description in RNAcentral is "long non-coding RNA (NBEN_LNC032675)". Lineage: Eukaryota; Viridiplantae; Streptophyta; Magnoliopsida; Solanales; Solanaceae. The record is from RNAcentral.
ACGAGCACUGCGAGUACGUUCCUUCUUAUCAACGGUAGGGCUACGGAUCUCAACUGUCAAAAAGCUAGGGCUUUCGGAGGAAGAAGAGAGGAGGUCGUCAUUGCCAUUGGCUCUUUGCUUGUUCCACCAUUCCUGAAACUCAUGAUUGGGCGGCCGAGACAUAUAUGGAUAAUGCGAGUGAAUCAAUGGUCGCCGUUGAUAUUGUCGGAAGAAGAGAGGAGGUCAUCAUUGCCAUUGGCUCUUUGCUUGUUCCACCAUUCCUGAAACUCAUGAUUGGGCGGCCGAGACAUAUAUGGAUAAUGCGAGUGAAUCAAUGGUCGCCGUUGAUAUUGUCUACUUUCAGAUCUCGAUUUUGUGCCGGCUAUGGAACAUGGAGAUAGUGUGUAGUGUGUGUGAGAGUGCCUAGUGUGAUCCGGAGAAUAGGGAAGAAAUGCCGGAAGCUAAUGAAGCUAAAUUUAGUUAAGUCCAGAAGCUCAGACUGUCUAAAGUUCGAGUUGG